CCUACGGGUGGCAGCAGUGAGGAAUAUUGGUCAAUGGGCGCUAGCCUGAACCAGCCAAGCAGCGUGAAGGAUGACUGCCCUAUGGGUUGUAAACUUCUUUUAUAUGGGAAUAAAGUGCAGUAUGUAUACUGCUUUGCAUGUACCUUAUGAAUAAGGAUCGGCUAACUCCGUGCCAGCAGCCGCGGUAAUACGGAGGAUCCGAGCGUUAUCCGGAUUUAUUGGGUUUAAAGGGAGCGUAGGCGGGUUGUUAAGUCAGUUGUGAAAGUUUGCGGCUCAACCGUAAAAUUGCAGUUGAUACUGGCAGCCUUGAGAACAGGAGAGGUAGGCGGAAUGCGUGGUGUAGCGGUGAAAUGCUUAGAUAUCACGAAGAACUCCGAUUGCGAAGGCAGCCUGCUGGACUGUAACUGACGCUGAGGCUCGAAAGUGUGGGUAUCAAACAGGAUUAGAUACCCGGGUAGUC
This 460-nucleotide ribosomal RNA is filed under the name uncultured bacterium. Its description in RNAcentral is "partial 16S ribosomal RNA". It matches the Rfam family "Bacterial small subunit ribosomal RNA", at positions 338 to 795 of the family's 1533-position model. The record is from RNAcentral.